Molecule: ribosomal RNA, 261 nt
Filed under: Triticum aestivum (bread wheat)
Lineage: Eukaryota; Viridiplantae; Streptophyta; Magnoliopsida; Poales; Poaceae
Description: partial small subunit ribosomal RNA
Source: RNAcentral
AUGCAGAUCUUCGUGAAGACCCUCACUGGCAAGACUAUCACCCUCGAGGCGGAGUCCUCUGACACUAAAAAGGCCACUUCAAAAAAAAAGAAGAUCCAGGACAAGGAGGGCAUCCAGCCGUACCAGCAGCGCCUGAUCUUGGCCGACAAGCAGCUCGAGGACGGACGCACACUCGCCGAUUACAACAUUCAGAAGGAGUCCAAUCUGCACUUGGUGCUCCGCCUCCGUGUGGUGGCCAGCGAGUCGUUUGGAAGGUGGUAG